This 73-nucleotide transfer RNA is filed under the name Arctopsyche spinescens. Its description in RNAcentral is "tRNA-Pro". The record is from RNAcentral. Lineage: Eukaryota; Metazoa; Arthropoda; Insecta; Trichoptera; Hydropsychidae.
CAAUAAAUGGUUUAUUAAAAAUAAUAAUUUUGGAGAUUAUUGAUAUAGUAUUUUAAAUUGUCUAUUUUAUUGA